UCAAAUGACUUUUGAACUUAGUGGCGGACGGGUGAGUAACGCGUGAGCAACCUGCCUUUCAGAGGGGGAUAACAUUUGGAAACAGAUGCUAAUACCGCAUAAGAUUACAGUACCGCAUGAUACAGUGAUCAAAGGAGCAAUCCGCUGAAAGAUGGGCUCGCGUCCGAUUAGAUAGUUGGUGAGGUAACGGCUCACCAAGUCGACGAUCGGUAGCCGGACUGAGAGGUUGAACGGCCACAUUGGGACUGAGACACGGCCCAGACUCC
RNAcentral lists this ribosomal RNA (266 nucleotides) under uncultured Eubacteriales bacterium. Its description in RNAcentral is "uncultured Clostridiales bacterium partial 16S ribosomal RNA". It matches the Rfam family "Bacterial small subunit ribosomal RNA", at positions 72 to 339 of the family's 1533-position model. The record is from RNAcentral. Lineage: Bacteria; Bacillati; Bacillota; Clostridia; Eubacteriales.